ACGCUCGACACCUACGGGAGACAGCAGUGGGGAAUAUUGCACAAUGGGGGAAACCCUGAUGCAGCGACGCCGCGUGAGUGAAGAAGUAUUUCGGUAUGUAAAGCUCUAUCAGCAGGGAAGAAGAUGACGGUACCUGAGUAAGAAGCCCCGGCUAACUACGUGCCGGCAGCCGCGGUAAUCUGAGGCGGGCUGGCAAGGC
RNAcentral lists this ribosomal RNA (199 nucleotides) under uncultured bacterium. RNAcentral describes it as "partial 16S ribosomal RNA". It matches the Rfam family "Bacterial small subunit ribosomal RNA", at positions 328 to 539 of the family's 1533-position model. The record is from RNAcentral.